GAGUAGUAUUAGUUGUGUUCUUGAAACUUAAAGAAUUUGGCGGUAUCCUACUCCGUUCAGAGGAAUCUGUCUCGUUAUCGAUAGUCCGCGUUGGACCUUGCUUAGGGUUAAUUUUGGUUUGUAUACCGCCGUUUAUUGAUUAUCUUUUUAGAGUAUCUUGAAUUUUCUGGUUUCUUUAAUUUGAUUUAUUGCAGGUCAAGGUGCAGCUUUUUCUAAGUGUAAUGAUGGAUUACAGUGGUAUGUGUUGUUUGGAUUGUUUGUUUAAAUAUGGGCAUGAAAUUGGAUUUGGUUGUAAUGUUUUGUAGAUUGUUUUCAUGAUAGUUGGUUCUAGGAUAUGUACACAUCGCCCGUCGCUCUCAUUUAAGUUUUUGAUGAGAUAAG
Molecule: ribosomal RNA, 381 nt
Filed under: Odontotermes gurdaspurensis
Lineage: Eukaryota; Metazoa; Arthropoda; Insecta; Blattodea; Termitidae
Description: partial 12S ribosomal RNA
Source: RNAcentral